UACGUAGGUGGCAAGCGUUGUCCGGAUUUAUUGGGUUUAAAGGGUGCGUAGGUGGUCAAUUAAGUCAGUGCUGAAAUAUCCCGGCUUAACCGGGAGGGUGGCAUUGAUACUGAUUGACUUGAGUGGAGUUGAGGUAGGCGGAAUUGACGGUGUAGCGGUGAAAUGCGUAGAUAUCGAGAGGAACACCUGCGGCGAAGGCGGGUUGCUGGGCUGAUACUGACGCUGAGGCGCGAAAGCCAGGGAGCGAACGGG
This 252-nucleotide ribosomal RNA is filed under the name uncultured bacterium. Its description in RNAcentral is "partial 16S ribosomal RNA". It matches the Rfam family "Bacterial small subunit ribosomal RNA", at positions 524 to 776 of the family's 1533-position model. The record is from RNAcentral.